RNAcentral lists this ribosomal RNA (621 nucleotides) under Triticum aestivum (bread wheat). RNAcentral describes it as "partial small subunit ribosomal RNA". The record is from RNAcentral. Lineage: Eukaryota; Viridiplantae; Streptophyta; Magnoliopsida; Poales; Poaceae.
AUGGAAUUUGAGUCAAGUGAUGAAGAUUAUUCGUAUGAUGAAGAUGAGGAGGGGCACAUUGUUAGAAGGAAGAGCAAGUACCCUAGAUUUGACCCUCAUAUUGAUAUUCCACACUUUAGUUUGGGGAUGGUUUUUAGAAGCAAAAAUCAAUUUGUCAAAGCAAUUAAGAGAUAUGGUCUUGCUACAAAAAGAAGCAUCAAUUUCUUGAAGUCUAAGGAGGUGAGCAUCAGAGCCAAAUGUAGAUGGCAUGGGUGCCCAUGGCUUGUAUAUGGAGCAAAGACUAGCAGGUACUCAAGGUUUGAAAUCACUACAUAUGAGGAUGAGCACCAUUGUGCACAGAACAGGGAAAACAGGCUUGUUUCUGCAAAGGUCAUACCAGAAAGAUAUGAACAUUUCAUCCUUGCCAAUCCAAUGUGGAAAAUUGAUAGCAUCAAAGCCACUAUCCUCAAAGAUAAGUUUGCUGAUGUGUCAACAUCAAAGUGCAAGGCAGCAAAAAAGAUUGUCAUGGAUAAGUUGAUGUGUGGUAUGAAGAGUGAGUAUACUAAAAUCUUUUACUAUCAGUUAGAGUUGCUUAGAAGUAACCCCGGAAGUACUGUAGCUGUUUGCUUGGAUCCAAAAUAA